UUUAAUAGAAGUAUAAGUAUUAAAAAAAAUUGACAACUUUUAUUUUCUUAAAUAUAAUAUUAUAAUUAAUUUAAUAAAGAUAUAUUACUACUAAAAAGUCUUUCUUCAAAAACAUAAUUAUAUAUUUAAUUUAAUAAAUAAAUAUUAGUACAAAUUUUCUCAAACCUUUUUUUUUAUUUAAGCCUAAAACAAAUUAUUUACGUAUAUUUGGCCAUGAAUCAUCUACUUUUGCAGUAAAAGCCUUACCUUAAGUACCUCGAUCUUCCUUUUUCAUACAACACCUUUUCCAAACCAUGUCUCAUCCCCCAAUUCUUCUGUUGUCAAAUCUUCGAAGCUUUUGACCUUCUGUGGUUGUGAUAAUUAC
RNAcentral lists this long non-coding RNA (364 nucleotides) under Vigna radiata. Its description in RNAcentral is "long non-coding RNA (VRAD_LNC010550)". Lineage: Eukaryota; Viridiplantae; Streptophyta; Magnoliopsida; Fabales; Fabaceae. The record is from RNAcentral.